GCCCAUGGUCCCUCUAAUAAGCAAUAUGCCAGCAAGAGUUGACAAAGUUUUUAAUUUCCAAAGUCUUUGAUCUAAGAGUAUGACAUUUCCCUCCUCGGAUCCCGUUUUGAUCAGGCAAUAAAUCCAAAGUAAGUAUGCUUGAGAAUUUUUGCAAAAUAAAACAGCCUCAGUGAGAUAUAUAUAUAUAAAAGAUAAUGAGUGAUAUGAGAGAACCUAUGAGGAUCAAAAAGGUAUGCUAACUUUCUUUCAAAAAUAUACAAAAACUCCAAGUGACAGGAUUGAAAAGAAAGAAUCUUUACACUUAACCAUACACAUCCCUGACUAUGGUACACAGUGGAAUUUUUAACACCCUGCAAUUAUAAAGAGAAUGUUUUAAAUGUUUACCCCAG
This 389-nucleotide long non-coding RNA is filed under the name Sorghum bicolor (sorghum). RNAcentral's name for it is "long non-coding RNA (SBIC_LNC015946)". Lineage: Eukaryota; Viridiplantae; Streptophyta; Magnoliopsida; Poales; Poaceae. The record is from RNAcentral.